Molecule: non-coding RNA, 79 nt
Organism: Favolaschia claudopus
Lineage: Eukaryota; Fungi; Basidiomycota; Agaricomycetes; Agaricales; Mycenaceae
Source: the annotation of a GenBank genome assembly
GGCACUUUAGCUCAGUGGUAAAGAGCACACUCAAAUAAUGAGUAUUAAGAGGUCCCAGGUUCGAGUCCUGGAAGAGCCA